RNAcentral lists this long non-coding RNA (293 nucleotides) under Naja naja (Indian cobra). RNAcentral's name for it is "lncRNA (ENSNNAG00000003475.1)". Lineage: Eukaryota; Metazoa; Chordata; Lepidosauria; Squamata; Elapidae. The record is from RNAcentral.
UCUUCCUUAAUCUCUUUUCAGACAGAGUGAUCCUUUGAAUCCUGGGGACAGAGGUUGUUUGCCCACACUUGGGAUUAAUUCUUGUCUGCUUGGAGAUCUGCAGCAAACUUUAAAAUUCCAGACAUGUAAAUAGCCUUGGGUGUCUUACAUUGGCCAGGACUGCAAAGCAAUUCCAGAAUUCCUUGGGACAAAAUACGGACACAUCGCAAAAAGGCUGGACCUCAGCUUCAAUUUAUUAAGAUGUUUAUUGUGGACCAACUGAAAUUAUGGAUUGGAUUGAGACAGACCUAUCU